UCCUGGUGGUUUAGAUGGCAAAAUAUCUGCCUGCAGUGCAGGAAACUUGGGUUCAAUCCCUGGGUCAGGAA
RNAcentral lists this transfer RNA (71 nucleotides) under Bos taurus (domestic cattle). It matches the Rfam family "tRNA". From Rfam's summary of the family: Transfer RNA (tRNA) molecules are approximately 80 nucleotides in length. Their secondary structure includes four short double-helical elements and three loops (D, anti-codon, and T loops). Lineage: Eukaryota; Metazoa; Chordata; Mammalia; Artiodactyla; Bovidae. RNAcentral also lists the same sequence under 1 other name. The record is from Rfam by way of RNAcentral.